This 253-nucleotide ribosomal RNA is filed under the name uncultured bacterium. Its description in RNAcentral is "partial 16S ribosomal RNA". It matches the Rfam family "Bacterial small subunit ribosomal RNA", at positions 524 to 776 of the family's 1533-position model. The record is from RNAcentral.
UACGAAGGGGGCUAGCGUUGCUCGGAAUUACUGGGCGUAAAGGGCGCGUAGGCGGAUAUUUAAGUCAGGGGUGAAAGCCCGGGGCUCAACCUCGGAACUGCCUUUGAUACUGGAUAUCUUGAGUUCGGGAGAGGUGAGUGGAAUGCCGAGUGUAGAGGUGAAAUUCGUAGAUAUUCGGCGGAACACCAGUGGCGAAGGCGACUCACUGGCCCGAUACUGACGCUGAGGCGCGAAAGCGUGGGGAGCAAACAGG